AUUAAAUCAAAAUUAGAACCCGUCUCUCCUCCCCUCCUCUCGAAAUCUAUAUAUAACUCUCUAUUGAACUCGUUAUUGUCAUCGAAAUAGAAGAUCAAUCAGAUAUUUCUCAUUUUUCAGCCAUGACAAUGUCUAAUGGCAUUCCGGAGAAGAAAAUGAAGGGUAAGCGAAAGAUUGAAAUCCAAAAGAUCGACAAGAAAACAAGUUUACGAGUAGCUUUAUCCAAGAGGCGGAAUGGUCUUUUCAAGAAGGCUAUGGAAACGCGCCUAUUGUGCGGCGCAGAUGUAGCAAUCCUUAUCCAAUCUCUGGGUAACAAGUUCUCACUUUUGGCGAACCCUCUUUGGAAUCCAUUUUGAAUCAAUGCCAAUUUCUUGUUGAUGCCCACAAUCUGAUCGUUGAAGGGAGGGGUAAAAAUGAGAGGGAAUUUUGGUGGGAGAAAGAAAAUUUGGAAAAAAUGGAGUUGCGUGAACUUGGAGCGUUUGAGGUGGUAGUAACCGGUCUAAGAGAUGAAGUUUUGAAUCGCGCUUCAGUUGCUUCGUAAAUUCAAUUUCCACUAGAGGAAUUUUAAUGAUACUGUUAUGAAUUUAGAGUUCUAGACAGUAUGACGAUAUCCUAGUACUUGACAGAAUUAGAUUUUAAAUUUGAAUGUUGUCUGAUGUAAAAAUUAAAAAUUCAUUAUUCUUUUUUUA
This 689-nucleotide long non-coding RNA is filed under the name Olea europaea subsp. europaea. Lineage: Eukaryota; Viridiplantae; Streptophyta; Magnoliopsida; Lamiales; Oleaceae. The record is from RNAcentral.